GAUGAACGCUGGCGGCGUGCCUAAUACAUGCAAGUCGAGCGAACAGACGAGGAGUUUGCUCCUCUGACGUUAGCGGCGGACGGGUGAGUAACACGUGGAUAACCUACCUAUAAGACUGGGAUAACUUCGGGAAACCGGAGCUAAUACCGGAUAAUAUAUUGAACCGCAUGGUUCAAUAGUGAAAGACGGUUUUGCUGUCACUUAUAGAUGGAUCCGCGCCGCAUUAGCUAGUUGGUAAGGUAACGGCUUACCAAGGCAACGAUGCGUAGCCGACCUGAGAGGGUGAUCGGCCACACUGGAACUGAGACACGGUCCAGACUCCUACGGGAGGCAGCAGUAGGGAAUCUUCCGCAAUGGGCGAAAGCCUGACGGAGCAACGCCGCGUGAGUGAUGAAGGUCUUCGGAUCGUAAAACUCGGUUAUUAGGGAAGAACAAAUGUGUAAGUAACUAUGCACGUCUUGACGGUACCUAAUCAGAAAGCCACGGCUAACUACGUG
This 497-nucleotide ribosomal RNA is filed under the name uncultured bacterium. RNAcentral's name for it is "partial 16S ribosomal RNA". It matches the Rfam family "Bacterial small subunit ribosomal RNA", at positions 28 to 507 of the family's 1533-position model. The record is from RNAcentral.